This 511-nucleotide unclassified non-coding RNA is filed under the name Hevea brasiliensis (rubber tree). Lineage: Eukaryota; Viridiplantae; Streptophyta; Magnoliopsida; Malpighiales; Euphorbiaceae. The record is from RNAcentral.
UAUCACCUGUCAUCAAUAAAACCUGCAAAAAGUUAGCUACAGUGACAAUCCUAGCAAGUGUGGAGUAUGCAAUCAUGGUGCUGAAUGCAGUGACAAAGUUUUGCGGUUAAUGACUGCAUGUCUUUAAGUCUGACGAUUUGUGAGAAUUACCAAAAAAGCAAGCUGUCAUCUUGAAGAAAAAGAAAUAAUUAGGUUGUACGAGAAACUCCUAACAUAAGAUGAAUAAAAUAAGGUCUAGCUGCAUGGCAUCAAUAGUAUAAGUUUAUCCUAUUUGGUUCAUACAAAUGCAGAGAGGUCAGGACCACCAUUCAACUACUUUUCACCAAACCUAUCUGAUCAAAGGAUCAACAAUCACACAUCAUGUGUUGUUUAAAUGCUUGGACAAACAAGAAGACAUAUUAAGACCAAAAUAUGAAUGCACUGGUCCAAUUAAAGUAUCAGCAAAGGGAUAUGAAUACUAAACAAACCCCACUCAUCAAAAAAACAAAGUUGCAAAAUACUACCAAUUAGA